ACCSSSGGGCAUGCUCWGUAGCGGCGAGUGAGCGGCAAAAGCUCAAAUUUGAAAUCUGGCGUCUUUGGCGUCCGAGUUGUAAUUUGAAGAAGGUAUCUUUGGGCCCGGCUCUUGUCUAUGUUCCUUGGAACAGGACGUCACAGAGGGUGAGAAUCCCGUGCGAUGAGAUGACCCGGGUCUGUGUAAAGUUCCUUCGACGAGUCGAGUUGUUUGGGAAUGCAGCUCUAAGUGGGUGGUAAAUUCCAUCUAAAGCUAAAUAUUGGCGAGAGACCGAUAGCGAACAAGUACAGUGAUGGAAAGAUGAAAAGAACUUUGAAAAGAGAGUGAAAAAGUACGUGAAAUUGUUGAAAGGGAAGGGCUUGAGAUCAGACUUGGUAUUUUGCAUGCUGCUCUCUCGGGGGCGGCCGCUGCGGUUUACCGGGCCAGCAUCGGUUUGGAGCGGCAGGAUAAUGGCGGAGGAAUGUGGCACGGCUUCUGCUGUGUGUUAUAGCCUCUGACGAUACUGCCAGCCUAGACCGAGGACUGCGGUUUUUACCUAGGAUGUUGGCAUAAUGAUCUUAAGUCGCCCGUCUUGAAACACRGACCA
This 586-nucleotide ribosomal RNA is filed under the name Candida albicans. RNAcentral's name for it is "LSU rRNA". It matches the Rfam family "Eukaryotic large subunit ribosomal RNA", at positions 64 to 668 of the family's 3401-position model. Lineage: Eukaryota; Fungi; Ascomycota; Pichiomycetes; Serinales; Debaryomycetaceae. The record is from RNAcentral.